Molecule: long non-coding RNA, 638 nt
Filed under: Mytilus galloprovincialis (Mediterranean mussel)
Lineage: Eukaryota; Metazoa; Mollusca; Bivalvia; Mytilida; Mytilidae
Source: RNAcentral
GUAUUCUUUUAUUUGAUUUUCAAAAGUAUUUACCUUUAUUGCUUAGACCAUUUCUUGGUAAUAUCCUGUUGACGUGGUCCGGUACUUACCUCACCAUUGUGUUAUUGUGCUAUGUUCAUUUUUGUAUGCUUGUCUUCCAUUUGUGCUUUUGUCUAUCUGUUAUUUUUUCUUGUUUGUUUGUUUUUGUGGUGAUAAAGAUUUUUAUUUUACUUUUAAUAGAACCAAUAAUUGACUCAAAAAUACUACAUACAGCAAGUGCAAUCGUUUAUCUUUCAGUUAAAACAGACGAGACAAACGAAAACUUAAAACAUUACAAAAUAAACUGGAAGAGAACUGGUACUUUUCCAACGAAUUAAAUUAAGAUCGAUACAGUCACAUACGAUUCUUUCAUAUUUUGACAAUUAUUUAUUAGCUGUUUAAAAUAUACUUUAGAAAAACAAGUAAUUUAAAAUUACAUAUUAUUUAUCUGACCGAUUUUUGUUAUAAACUAUUAGUAAUAACAAUCUUUCAAGAAACCUUGUGUAUUUCAGUUUGAAGCCAUUAUGACAGCAAUCAAAACGUAUCAUGCUGUCCUUGCAAUAUGUAUAUUAUAUUUGCUGAAUAAUGUCAACCUUGUAAAUGUAAGUAUAUUGUCAACA